GCCCGCCUAGCUCAAUCGGAUAGAGCGUCAGACUUUUAAGGCGGUUUGCUGUCGUUUCAAUCUGAAGGCUGCGAGUUCGACCCUCGCGGUGGGCU
Lentinula aciculospora is the source of this 95-nucleotide non-coding RNA. The record is from the annotation of a GenBank genome assembly. Lineage: Eukaryota; Fungi; Basidiomycota; Agaricomycetes; Agaricales; Omphalotaceae.